UGCUCGAGUGGCGAACGGGUGAGUAACACGUGAGUAACCUGCCCUUGACUUUGGGAUAACUUCAGGAAACUGGGGCUAAUACCGGAUAGGAGCUCUGCUGCAUGGUGGGGGUUGGAAAGUUUCGGCGGUUGGGGAUGGACUCGCGGCUUAUCAGCUUGUUGGUGGGGUAGUGGCUUACCAAGGCUUUGACGGGUAGCCGGCCUGAGAGGGUGACCGGCCACAUUGGGACUGAGAUACGGCCCAGACUCCUACGGGAGGCAGCAGCA
RNAcentral lists this ribosomal RNA (266 nucleotides) under uncultured Propionibacterium sp. RNAcentral's name for it is "partial 16S ribosomal RNA". It matches the Rfam family "Bacterial small subunit ribosomal RNA", at positions 88 to 355 of the family's 1533-position model. Lineage: Bacteria; Bacillati; Actinomycetota; Actinomycetes; Propionibacteriales; Propionibacteriaceae. The record is from RNAcentral.